This 253-nucleotide ribosomal RNA is filed under the name uncultured bacterium. RNAcentral's name for it is "partial 16S ribosomal RNA". It matches the Rfam family "Bacterial small subunit ribosomal RNA", at positions 524 to 776 of the family's 1533-position model. The record is from RNAcentral.
UACGGAGGAUGCAAGCGUUAUCCGGAAUGAUUGGGCGUAAAGCGUCCGCAGGUGGCUGUGUAAGUCUGCUGUUAAAGAGUGAGGCUCAACCUCAUAAAAGCAGUCGAAACUACACGGCUAGAGUGCGUUCGGGGCAGAGGGAAUUCCUGGUGUAGCGGUGAAAUGCGUAGAUAUCAGGAAGAACACCGGUGGCGAAAGCGCUCUGCUAGGCCGCAACUGACACUGAGGGACGAAAGCUAGGGGAGCGAAUGGG